CCUACGGGUGGCUGCAGUGAGGAAUAUUGGUCAAUGGACGAGAGUCUGAACCAGCCAAGUAGCGUGAAGGAUGACUGCCCUAUGGGUUGUAAACUUCUUUUAUAUGGGAAUAAAAUGUUCCACGUGUGGGAUUUUGUAUGUACCCUAUGAAUAAGGAACGGCUAACUCCGCGCCAGCAGCCGCGGUAAUACGGAGGAUCCGAGCGUUAUCCGGAUUUAUUGGGUUUAAAGGGAGCGUAGGUGGAUUGUUAAGUCAGUUGUGAAAGUUUGCGGCUCAACCGUAAAAUUGCAGUUGAAACUGGCAGUCUUGAGUACAGUAGAGGUGGGCGGAAUUCGUGGUGUAGCGGUGAAAUGCUUAGAUAUCACGAAGAACUCCGAUUGCGAAGGCAGUUCACUGGACUGCAACUGACACUGAGGCUCGAAAGUGUGGGUAUCAAACAGGAUUAGAUAUCCGAGUAGUC
This 460-nucleotide ribosomal RNA is filed under the name uncultured bacterium. RNAcentral's name for it is "partial 16S ribosomal RNA". It matches the Rfam family "Bacterial small subunit ribosomal RNA", at positions 338 to 795 of the family's 1533-position model. The record is from RNAcentral.